RNAcentral lists this ribosomal RNA (273 nucleotides) under Listeria monocytogenes. RNAcentral's name for it is "partial 23S ribosomal RNA". It matches the Rfam family "Bacterial large subunit ribosomal RNA", at positions 2659 to 2925 of the family's 2925-position model. The record is from RNAcentral. Lineage: Bacteria; Bacillati; Bacillota; Bacilli; Caryophanales; Listeriaceae.
AAUUUGAGAGGAGCUGUCCUUAGUACGAGAGGACCGGGAUGGACAUACCUCUGGUGUACCAGUUGUCGUGCCAACGGCAUAGCUGGGUAGCUAUGUAUGGACGGGAUAAGUGCUGAAAGCAUCUAAGCAUGAAGCCCCCCUCAAGAUGAGAUUUCCCAACUUCGGUUAUAAGAUCCCUCGAAGAUGACGAGGUUAAUAGGUUCGAGGUGGAAGCGUGGUGACACGUGGAGCUGACGAAUACUAAUCGAUCGAAGACUUAAUCAAUUUUUUAAA